AGAGACUUAGGAUAAAAUAGACCAAGAGCCUUCAAAGCCCUAAGCAGGAGUGAAACCCUCCUAGUCUCUG
RNAcentral lists this transfer RNA (70 nucleotides) under Hydrolycus scomberoides (payara). RNAcentral's name for it is "tRNA-Trp". It matches the Rfam family "tRNA". From Rfam's summary of the family: Transfer RNA (tRNA) molecules are approximately 80 nucleotides in length. Their secondary structure includes four short double-helical elements and three loops (D, anti-codon, and T loops). Further hydrogen bonds mediate the characteristic L-shaped molecular structure. tRNAs have two regions of fundamental functional importance: the anti-codon, which is responsible for specific mRNA codon recognition, and the 3' end, to which the tRNAs corresponding amino acid is attached (by aminoacyl-tRNA synthetases). tRNAs cope with the degeneracy of the genetic code in two manners: having more than one tRNA (with a specific anti-codon) for a particular amino acid; and 'wobble' base-pairing, i.e. permitting non-standard base-pairing at the 3rd anti-codon position. The record is from RNAcentral. Lineage: Eukaryota; Metazoa; Chordata; Actinopteri; Characiformes; Characidae.